This 199-nucleotide long non-coding RNA is filed under the name Theobroma cacao (cacao). RNAcentral describes it as "long non-coding RNA (TCAC_LNC006290)". Lineage: Eukaryota; Viridiplantae; Streptophyta; Magnoliopsida; Malvales; Malvaceae. The record is from RNAcentral.
UUGAUAUAGUUUGAGUUUCAAUCUUGAAAAGUCAUGGCUGGCCUCCAAUAUUACUUCUUUCCGACUGUUUUCUACUACCCUCGCCCUUCAUUGUUGAACGCAAACAAGAACAAGCCGGCGCUUGUUCUUCCAGUGGAGACCGGAAAACGAGACAAAAGCCAUGCUGAAAAUCUUCGUAUAGCCGCCAAUAUGGUUCAAU